AUGUGGGAUUCGAUCCCGGGUCUCCAGGAUCGCGCCCUGAGCCAAAGGCAGGCGCCAAACCGCUGCGCCACCCAGGGAUCCCGAGCUGACUCUUGAUUGUGUAAGAGAGGGCAAGCCACUAAUUCUCUCAUUUGUUAAAUGGAGAAAACAUAUGAUACUUAAUAUCUCCAAAGUAUAAAUGGGGUUAAUUAUGGUUCAACCACUAUUGGAAACAAGAAUUUUUGUUUCUCAGAAGAUUGUUCUCAAGGGAUAGAAGAUACAUUCCUAUUUCCUCCAAGAAGACAGGUAAACAGUGGUGAAACAGGUGCAUAAGAAGAAUGAUAUUUAUCAAGGUUUGGCCACUCAAGGGAAAGACUGGCAGAUAGACUCACCCUGGAUGAAAAUUAAGCAGGUGAAAUUGGACAAGAGCAACACUUUUAUGGAAGAACAGAUAGUCACAGACCAGUCAUGGAGGAAUUAAACCAUGGUCAGACGUUUCUUCCCCCUCUGUUCUGACGUUGGAAGUGAAAUGAUGCAGAAAGCUGUUCUUUCUUACUCUGUAUUGCAUCAGUCUUGCAAAGCACACACAGGUGCUAGUAAUCAGUAACCACUUGAAAUUUAUGCUUGUUGUUUUAAUAAAGCAUUAUAUUUGGAUUA
Molecule: long non-coding RNA, 636 nt
Organism: Canis lupus familiaris (dog)
Lineage: Eukaryota; Metazoa; Chordata; Mammalia; Carnivora; Canidae
Exons: 3
Source: RefSeq, a predicted model, not a curated record